AACGAACGCUGGCGGCAGGCUUAACACAUGCAAGUCGAGCGCAACCUUCGGGUUGAGCGGCAGACGGGUGAGUAACGCGUGGGGAUAUGCCCAGAGGUGGGGAAUAACUCAGGGAAACUUGAGCUAAUACCGCAUAAGCCCUUCGGGGGAAAGAUUUAUUGCCUUUGGAUUAACCCGCGUCAGAUUAGCUAGUUGGUAGGGUAAUGGCCUACCAAGGCGACGAUCUGUAGCUGGUCUGAGAGGAUGAUCAGCCACACUGGGACUGAGACACGGCCCAGACUCCUACGGGAGGCAGCAGUGGGGAAUAUUGGACAAUGGGCGCAAGCCUGAUCCAGCCAUGCCGCGUGAGUGAUGACGGCCUUAGGGUUGUAAAGCUCUUUUAACAGGGACGAUAAUGACGGUACCUGUAGAAUAAGCCCCGGCUAACUUCGUGCCAGCCGCCGCCGUAAAAC
RNAcentral lists this ribosomal RNA (452 nucleotides) under uncultured bacterium. RNAcentral's name for it is "bacterial SSU rRNA". It matches the Rfam family "Bacterial small subunit ribosomal RNA", at positions 29 to 526 of the family's 1533-position model. The record is from RNAcentral.